CUGAGUCUUGGAUUCCUGUUGACUGGUCACGGUUCCCUCAAUGCAUUCUUGCAUUCGAGGAACCUUUAUGACAGUCCAGAAUGCCGUUGUGGCUCGGCUGCUGAGACAUGGGAGCAUGUUCUCUGUGAGUGCACAAGGUAUGCAGAUUUUCGAGAUCUGAGGGGGAUGGGUAUAAGUGAGGUUAGUGGCGGGUUUGACGUAAGUCAAUCACUCUCCACUAGUGAUAGGGUUAGAAGAAUGAGUGAGUUUGCUAGAGCUGCAUUUUCCAGGCGACGUUUGCAAUUGCAGGAAGGAAUUGUAUGAAUGAUGAUGGAUGGUAGAUGUGAGAAUGUGGGGGUACGAAUGUGGGGGUGUUUCUGAAUGGUAAUUUUUGUUGAACAUUGUGUUGUGAUGGGGCUACCAACCCUUAACUGUUUGGAGUUUAAAUUGGAAGUGCCCUUCUGGUACGAGGCCUGACCGGAGGCUUUUAAUCUGGUACCACGGGUAACCAGGAGCCCACGGAACUUGUUCCGUCCUGGUUAGUUGGUGCGGCCCUUCGGGGAGUAUCGUGGUGGUUGUGGUUUAACACCCAAAUGCGGGUAGAGCAUCGCUCGACGUGGAGUUGCGUCAUACAACCGGGUUCCGUGACCCAGAUUACGGAAGAGGCUUAGAUAGUCCUCGUGCCAAACCAAGGUAGAAGUCACAACCAAACAGUCGUGUCUUUAAUUGGUACCUGCGGAAUUGUUCCAAGGGGGCGGUGAUUGACGCUUGAAUUAAUCCUAUACUAGGAACCGUGAGAUUAAGCCAUUGCGGCAGGUGCUCACGUUAAGCCCACUGACUUUCAUGUCCCUAUCUACUAUCUAGCGAAACCACAGCCAAGGGAACGGGCUUGGAAUAAUUAGCGGGGAAAGAAGACCCUUUUGAGCUUGACUCUAAUCUGGCAGUGUAAGGAGACAUAAGAGGUGUAGAAUAAGUGGGAGAUAUUAGACUUCGGUUUGGUAUCGACAAUGAAAUACCACUACUCUUAUUGUUUCCUUACUUACUUGAUUAAAUGGAACGUGUAUCAUUUCCUAGCCAUUAUACGGAUAUAAUUAUUAUGUCUUAUGGUAUUGGGUUUUGAUGCAAGCUUCUUGAUCAAAGUAUCACGAGUUUGUUAUAUAAUCGCAAACAAAUUCUUUAAUGAGAGAAUGCAUUUAUGUAUUAUUGAUUUAAAAAUUUGGUAUAACUCCAAUUACUCAGGUAUGAUCCAAUUCAAGGACAUUGCCAGGUAGGGAGUUUGACUGGGGCGGUACAUCUCUCAAAUAAUAACGGAGGUGUCCCAAGGCCAGCUCAGUGCGGACAGAA
This 1323-nucleotide non-coding RNA is filed under the name Drosophila virilis. Its description in RNAcentral is "Eukaryotic large subunit ribosomal RNA". It matches the Rfam family "Eukaryotic large subunit ribosomal RNA", at positions 1964 to 2688 of the family's 3401-position model. Lineage: Eukaryota; Metazoa; Arthropoda; Insecta; Diptera; Drosophilidae. The record is from Rfam by way of RNAcentral.